This 1338-nucleotide long non-coding RNA is filed under the name Nicotiana benthamiana. RNAcentral's name for it is "long non-coding RNA (NBEN_LNC041885)". The record is from RNAcentral. Lineage: Eukaryota; Viridiplantae; Streptophyta; Magnoliopsida; Solanales; Solanaceae.
GUAGAAUGAUAUAGAUAAGUAUUGAGUGAUCUAGAGAAUGGAUAUUUUUGUAGAAUUGUGUAGAAGGUGAUUUGCAGCCAUUAGAUUGGAUAAAUCUUAGCCAUUGAUUGAGGAAAUGACCAAGUAUAAAUAAGUGUAGAAUUGUUUAUUUUGUAUCAAGCCAAAAAAAUCAAAAAUAAGUUUGAGCAAUAAAAGUUUCUCUUCUCCAAAAUCUUUCUACUCUUCCAAAAUUCCCUUAACCUAAAAGCCUCCCUCCAAAUAUUAAUAGCAAUCCUCUUCCAACAAUCACUACAUCUCUGUCUUGAAUUUGUUGAGUGAUAAUUUUGAUGACUUAUUCAAGUUGCCCAAGAGACUAUCCUUGUUUGAUGAUUAAGUUUUAGUAUUAUUCUAAUUCUUUGAGAGUGAUUUUGAAAAGUCCAACUUACCUACGUCGUUUAGCUAUACUAAAUAUUAUAAUGAGUAGUUAAUCAGUUUGUUGUGGAGUUUGAUUUAACAUAUGCAUUACGGAAAAAAAUAUGCGUCAUUUCAUAGCAACUUUGAAUAAAUAUGUGUCAUUAAAAAUGCACGUCUAUUUACUCUUAGUUUAUUACAGCGCCACUUCCUUAUAAGGAAAAAUAAUAUAAUAGUAUUCCAAUCAGGAUGCUCAAAAAACUAUGUUAGAGUUAGAGCACCACCUGAUUAACUUGAAAAGCGUUUGAAUUUAAUAGGAUUUAAGUUUACUGAAUGAAGUUACUAUUAAAUACCUCAUGAGUCAUGAAAGCCCAGGAAAGCUCGAUCAAAACCACACGUGCGAUUUCUCUUAUUCAGAUUCGUGAUAAUAUGCUAUAUUUACAUGAAAUUUGAUGUGUUUUACCCCGACUUUAAUAUGUUUUUUUAGGUGCUUGAAGGUUGAUAUAUGAUAAAUUGAGCUUAAUACGGUUGAAGUUUGUAUAUAGGAAGCUAAGAGUGGGAAAUAGAGAUAAUCUGAGGGGAAUGAAGCUAAAAGGGCAAAUUCUAAAGAAAUAAAAAUGUGUACGGUAAAAUCAGAGGGUCCAAUUUCCCUGUUAUUAUAAUGCCCCGCAAAUAUACCUCUCACAGCUCAAGGCAAGGGUCGAGGUUUACUUUCAAGGGCUGUCGAUGCUCGACAUCGGGGCAAUGCAGACCAACGGCUAUAUUGGAAAAGAGGGGAGUUCCCAAGGCGACAAAGUCUGUCAGGCUAGUCUGAACCCGCAUCAUGACGUCAACUAGCUGUCACAUCUCUAUAUCCUUAUAAUAAAAAAGUUUGUACUAUGAUGGGAUCAUCCCUUUCUAUAAAAAGGGGUCUUUGCCAUAUUGUAAGGAUGGAUUGCUCCAUAUGAA